This 459-nucleotide ribosomal RNA is filed under the name Anoxybacillus flavithermus TNO-09.006. RNAcentral's name for it is "bacterial LSU rRNA". It matches the Rfam family "Bacterial large subunit ribosomal RNA", at positions 2465 to 2925 of the family's 2925-position model. The record is from RNAcentral. Lineage: Bacteria; Bacillati; Bacillota; Bacilli; Caryophanales; Anoxybacillaceae.
ACCCCGGGGAUAACAGGCUUAUCUCCCCCAAGAGUCCACAUCGACGGGGAGGUUUGGCACCUCGAUGUCGGCUCAUCGCAUCCUGGGGCUGUAGUCGGUCCCAAGGGUUGGGCUGUUCGCCCAUUAAAGCGGUACGCGAGCUGGGUUCAGAACGUCGUGAGACAGUUCGGUCCCUAUCCGUCGCGGGCGUAGGAAAUUUGAGAGGAGCUGUCCUUAGUACGAGAGGACCGGGAUGGACGCACCGCUGGUGUACCAGUUGUCCCGCCAGGGGCACAGCUGGGUAGCUAUGUGCGGAAGGGAUAAGCGCUGAAAGCAUCUAAGCGUGAAGCCCCCCUCAAGAUGAGAUUUCCCAUCGCGUCAAGCGAGUAAGAUCCCUUGAAGAUGACAAGGUAGAUAGGUCCGAGGUGGAAGCGUGGCGACACGUGCAGCUGACGGAUACUAAUCGAUCGAGGACUUAAC